CCUACGGGAGGCAGCAGUGAGGAAUAUUGGUCAAUGGGCGCGAGCCUGAACCAGCCAAGUAGCGUGAAGGAUGACUGCCCUACGGGUUGUAAACCUCUUUUAUAAAGGAAUAAAACGAUUCACGUGUGCCUUUUUGCAUGUACUUUAUGAAUAAGCAUCGGCUAACUCCGUGCCAGCAGCCGCGGUAAUACGGAGGAUCCGAGCGUUAUCCGGAUUUAUUGGGUUUAAAGGGAGCGUAGAUGGGUUGUUAAGUCAGUUGUGAAAGUUUGCGGCUCAACCGUAAUAUUGCAAUUGAUACUGGCAGUCUUGAGUACAGUUGAGGUAGGCGGAAUUCGUGGAGUAGCGGUGAAAUGCUUAGAUAUCACGAAGAACUCCGAUUGCGAAGGCAGCUUACUAAACUGCCACUGACAUUGAUGCUCGAAAGUGUGGGUAUCAAACAGGAUUAGAUACCCGUGUAGUC
RNAcentral lists this ribosomal RNA (460 nucleotides) under uncultured bacterium. Its description in RNAcentral is "partial 16S ribosomal RNA". It matches the Rfam family "Bacterial small subunit ribosomal RNA", at positions 338 to 795 of the family's 1533-position model. The record is from RNAcentral.